RNAcentral lists this long non-coding RNA (5653 nucleotides) under Marmota monax (woodchuck). Lineage: Eukaryota; Metazoa; Chordata; Mammalia; Rodentia; Sciuridae. The record is from RNAcentral.
UGGACACUGACAUUGCCUGUUCCCUCUCCCACAUCUAUUCUCUCCUUUAGUCCCCAGACAGAUAUCGCCCUGUACAGAUGACUUUCCCAGGGGCCUCCUCCCUAAGCCGACUUCUCCCUAAAGCCCUCGACGGGUACAGUCCACCUGCCAGCUAGGUACCUCCACCUUGGUUCCAACAGGAAUCCCUCCCUUGGCACAAGCAAACCAUCAUUCUCCCUCCCAACUCAGGUCCCCAAGCAGCAGCCCCACAAAUCCUGACUAUGGUGUAGACCACAAACCCCAUCUGAGCCUUCCCACCACGUCCACCCCACAGGUAAAGUCAAGGCCUACUUCCCAGCACACCUUGAGCCCCAGGGCUUCUCAGCACCUGACCAGCACGGCCACAUCUGAGCAUUUCAUCUCAGACUGGACUACUGCAACCCCAGCCUGCUGCCCUGGCCUGGGCCAGGAGUUCACCUCUGGACCACAGCCUUGAUGAUCUACAGCACCCAUCAGAUCACACCACUCCUGUAUUCAUGGAGUGCCACAAACCCAGUGGUGCAAAAAACUGCUUGUUUCUCCCAGUUCAGGAGGCCAGAAGUCCAGAACCCAGGUAUCCACAAGGUUGGCUCCUUCUGGAGACCCCGGGGAACAAGGGUCCCGGGGCUCCCUUGGUGUUUCCAGGCUCACAGACAUCACUCCCUCCACCAUCAGGUUCCCUUCUCUGUAGGACUCUGUGUGCCCUUGUCUGUCUCUCCUGAGGACACUCUCCAGGGACUCAGAGCCCACCCUAAUCCAGGAUGACUUCAUCUCCAUCUUUACUUUACUACAUCUGCAAAGACCCUGUUUCCAGACAAGGGCACGUGCUGAGGUUCCCAGUGAACAUGCGUCUUGGAGGUCACCGUUCAGCUCACUGCAGCUCUCCUGGUCACCUGGGAAGGUCCCCACCAGACGGGAGGUUCAAGGUCAGUAGAUCCAGCACAGCUCUUGCCCUCCAGCACCCAUGAUCCCCAACUUUGGGGAGUCAGCUUUACAGGGGUGCCAAAGUGGUGUGUGUUCAGUAGGAGCCAUGAUUCACAUUCUGAAUCCUGAGCUUUUCCUGGACCAGUGGUAACAAGAUCAGCAGUGAGCGCCAGUCAGCCUCUCAGUCACGGGGUACUGUUGCUAGGUGUGCCCUGAGUGGGUAGGUGUGUUAGCACUUGUUUCUCUUAUGGCAUUUUCAACUGCAGAUGGGUUUCCUGGGUCCUCACCCCAUGGUAAGUCCAGAAACAAAAGCAAAAUGGUUUGUAUUUUUGCCUCAUUUAAUGCAUCUGGCAAAUAAAUAUAAAAAUAAUACAAUAAAUGUUUAAAAAUAUUUCUUUAUGAAAAAUGAAUAUAUUUGCUUUAUAUCUCAUAGAAUUGUUUGAAAAAUAAAUAAUGACAAUUAAAGCUAAGAAAUGGGUUAUGUUAAUCUGUCAUACCUUGGUGUAAACAAGAUUUUAAAAACUAAUUACUUUGUUGAGUGUUCUCCUGUUGUACAUACAACUAUAGGAGUUUGCCUUUUCUGAAAAUAAAUGAUUUAUCUCAGAUUUUUUUUUAAAAAAAUCUUCCCAGUGGCUUCUUCUUGCAACAAGAAAAAAAUCCAAACUCCUACAAAGUCCCUGGGACCUAACACCUGCCCCACCCGUGACCUCAUCUCCCUCUCCCUGCCUCCCUGACCACAGUCCAGCUGCUCAGGCUCCCUUCCUUCCCUGGAGCAGGCCCAGGUGUUCCUGGCUGGGCCUUGGCCUUCCGUUCCUGGCCCUUGAAGCACCCACUUUCCAGCCAUUCUCAUGGCUACCACUUCACCAUGCAGAUGGCUGCAAGAAAUGGCUCAGCAACAGACGCUUCCUGACCGUUCUGGAUAAAGCAACCACCACCCCACCAUUACCUCAUUGCACAACUUUGUCUGUGACACUUACUGUCUGAAAUGACCUCACUUGUUGUGAACUUGCUGUGACUCUCAGGAGAAGCUCAGCCCCUCGCAGGGCCCUGUCCUUUUUGCUUGGAGCAGUGCUUUGCCCUUAGUAAGCGCGCACGUUAAGACAAGUGGUUGGCGCACUCGACAUUCGUGCCAUUGGCACAGUGACAUUCAUUGCAAGGGGAAGCUACCCUUCUGUGAUGCAGAAGCCGGAACACUAAAAACCACACUUCCCAGACUCCCCUGCAGCCAAAGUCCCAGGUGCAAUUUAAAUUCCUCUAGCAAUAGGCAGUCGCGCAAGAUCUGAAUUUAGACCUGGCUCAGUGGGGAGAGAGGGAGGGCAUGAGGCAUCCACUUUGGGGGUGCAGACGAGAGCAGGUGUCAGGCAGCUUUAGGUGAGUGGCCAGCUCCCUGGUGGUGGCAGGAGCAUCAGCUCUUGGUGGCCUCGUCCCUGGAAGCUCAACUAGAACCUGUCCUUACAACAGUUUUACUAGCUAUGUGAUGUCUCCCCUUCAUUUUCUUUUAUGAGUGUAUCUAUGAUGGAAUUUAUGAGCCCAGAAAAUCCAGAAUCAUCUCCCAUCUGAAGAUUAUUAACUUAAUCAUAUCUGCAAAGUCCUUUUUAUCCAAAUAAGCUAAAGGGCUUUAUCCUUUCAGAUACUAUAACAAAUUCAUAAACUGGGUGGCUUAUAAGCAACAGAAAUUCAUUUCUCACAGGCUAGAAGUUCAAGAUCAAGGUGCAGGAGAUUUGGUUCUGCUGAAGGCCUGCUUCCUGGUUCUAGAUGCUGCUCCCUUCCUCUGCCCUCCCCUGGUAGGAAGGACAGCUCUCCACGUGUCUUUUAGGAGGACAGUAACCCCACCAGGAGAACUCUGCCUCAUCUCCCUUCUCCUAAGAUUGUCACCUUGGAGACUUAGAAUUUCAAAGUAUAAACUGGGGUAGGGGAUUUUGUCAGUAAUAUCUAUAGGUUUCAGGGACUUGGGGGCAAUUGUCCAGCCUGCUACAAAAGCCUUGCUUUGUUCUGAGACCCUUCCUAGCUUUCUGCACCACUGGCCACUGAGAAUGCCCACACCUAACCUUACCUCCAUUUAUUCCUCUGAGGAGAUCUGACCCCAGGGAGGAGAGUAGGGAGGAGGAAAAGAGCUCAUACUGUGGCUUCCAGAUGCCAUCUGUCAGGAGCACUAAAAGUGGGUGAACCAAGCUAUGGCCAGGUGGUCUAUACACAGCUGAGAGUAGAAAAUGAAUAACCAAAUUGCUGGAACAGACAGAAUGUCCUCCAAUGUUUCUGAUAGGCCAAGAGGGAGACGAGUGCUUGGCUUGCCCACCCCAGUGGGCGGGUGUGUUGGGCCUGAUGUGCUCUUAGGAAAGGGCCACCUCUCAGUUGAGGGCUAGUGUCUCAGGACAACUACAGCCAGCCUCACCCACUUUUAAGACCAACAAGGGGGAAAGAAGUUGUGAGCUAAAAUGAGAGCUGUGGUUGCAGGAACAGAGGGCUGCCUGGACCCCACAGGUUUCAACCAAGAUCAAGAGGCCGGGCCUGAUGCGCACACCUGCAAUCCCAGCAACUCAGAAGACUGAGGCAGGAGGCCUGCAAGUCCAAAGCCAGCCUCAGAAACUCAGCAAGGCCAUGAGCAACUUGCAGGACCCUGACUCAAAAUAAUAAUAAUAAAUUAAAAGAGCUGGGGAUGUGGCUCAGAAGUUAAGUGUCCCUGGGUUCAAUCUCCAGUACAAAGAGAGAGAGAGAGAGAGAGAGAGAGAGGAAAGAAGUAAAGAGAUGCAGCAAUUUUCUGGAUAAAUUAAACAAAAUCCAAAAGAGGUGAUAGGACUUAAGAACCUUCUAGCCAAGGGCAGUUGUCUACACCAUUAACCCCCCUGGACAAUCACUCAAGCCUUCUGGUGCAUGGGAAAGCAAGGGCAAACAGAGGGUGAGUGGGUCUAAAGAGCCUGCAUCACUUCCCAUCUCAUCAGCCAUCUGAUAUUAAGCCAAGCUGGUGGGAACAAAAUAAGAGUGUUCAAGUGGUGGCUGUGUGCAUCGGGGAACUAAAGGGCAUUAAGCAGACUUGCUCUUUCUAACUGGUGAAUUAAAUGCUGACAUCAGCACCAGGCUGUCUGGCAAGUUGUGCAGCAUUCAUUCAUUCAUUCAUUUGAUCACCGCUAAAGAAGCACCUGGGACAUGUAGAUUAAUCAAAAAAAAAAAAAAAAAAAAAGACCCUCACUCCGAGGAGUGUACAGUCUGGUAAAAGGAGUAGAACAUAUUCAUAAAUAACUCAUUCGACCUUACCAAUGCACCCAUGAGUCAGCCACUCAGGCUUCCAUUUUAUGGACGAUAAAUCCCAGGUUCACAGUGUUUGAACACCUUCUAGAGGCACAGUGACAGAGCCUCAAUUUGAACAACGUCUCUCACUGCUGAAAUUCACAGUUUUGUUUUGUUUUUUUUAAACAGGACUCAAAGCUUUUCUUAAAGAGGACGCCUUGAACUGGCCCUUUAAAGCCUAUGGGAUUUGAACGAGAGGAGAUGAAAGGAAAGAGCGUGGUGUGGAGGGAAGAAAUGAGAGUGGGAGGCAGUCGUGAUAUUAGCAGUCAUGGGCAAUGAGAAGAAAGAGGAAGUCUGUGGAUGGAAAGUGUGAGCUCAACCUUUUAAAAUGUUUUUUGAAGGACUCGUAGGUCAUGCAGACAGAAAAACCAGCCGUCAUUCAGAAAUGCAAAAUUGAGACCCUGGCAAGAGGCCUGAGCCAGAUAUUUAGAUCUGAGUAUCCACACACAAACGGAGCUGUGGGAGCCACCAAUUUACCAAAGCAGGGGGGUCUCGUCAGAGGAGCAGUGAGAGGAGGAAAGAAGAGAACCAGGAGCAGGACACCCUACCUUAGGACGUGGAAGAGAGGAGCAGAAGGUGGGAAAGAAUGAGUGGGCAGGCGGCUCCGAAAGCCGAGCAUCCUUGAAGCCAAGUGAGGAGAGAAUUCCAGAGAAAGGGGCACACAGCACAGCCAUGAUGAGCUCUGCACCAAGACCAAAGAGAGUGGGGACUGAGAAAAAUCCCACCGGAGGGGCAACUGGGGUGUUUUUGGUGACCUUUAAAGCAGUGUGCACAUCAUAGUAAAAUUGCUGAAAAUGAGAGCAAAGGGAAACAUCUUAAGUGAGAGGAGAAGAGGCAGAUUGUGGUCACAGGAACCACAGUUAGACAGCUGAUGUCUCAAACAGUUAAAUAUAAAAGAUAACAGAAAAGUCUUAACAUGCUGAAAAUGAAUGACUGUCAACCUAAAAUUUUAUGCUCCCCGCCAAUUCUUCAAGAAUGAAGAUGAAUUAAAGAAAUUUACAAAACCCAAAUCAGCAUAUUUAUCACUCACAUUAAAGGGAAGACUGUUUUUCAAGACCAAGGAAAAUAGCUGCAGUUGGAAAGCAAAAGACACAGAAGGAAAUAAAUAUUUUUUUUAAAAGCAAGUAUAGAGCUGGGUGUUGUGGCACACACCUGUAAUCCCAGCUACUCAGGAGGCUGAGGCAGGAGGAUCCCAUGAGCCUGGGAAUUUGAGGUCAACCUGGGCAUCACUGCAAGAUCCUGCCUCAAAAGAAGGAGAAGGAAGAGGAGGAGGAGAAAGUAUUUAGGUAAAUAUAAAUGGACAGUGACCAAAUUUUUUUUUUUAAUUUUGUCAUGUUAAAAACAUACAUUGCUUAGGGCUGGGUUUUUGGCUCAGUGGUAGAGUGGCUUGCUUGGCAUGCAUCAGGCACUGGGUUCAAUCCUCAGC